Molecule: ribosomal RNA, 253 nt
Filed under: uncultured bacterium
Lineage: Bacteria
Description: partial 16S ribosomal RNA
Rfam family: Bacterial small subunit ribosomal RNA
Source: RNAcentral
UACGUAGGGGGCAAGCGUUGUCCGGAUUUAUUGGGCGUAAAGAGCGUGUAGGCGGCCAGGUAGGUCUGCUGUGAAAACUCGAGGCUCAACCUCGAGACGCCGGCGGAAACCAUCUGGCUAGAGUCCGGAAGAGGAGAGUGGAAUUCCUGGUGUAGCGGUGAAAUGCGCAGAUAUCAGGAAGAACACCCGUGGCGAAGGCGGCUCUCUGGGCCGAUACUGACGCUGAGGAGCGAAAGCGUGGGGAGCGAACAGG